RNAcentral lists this ribosomal RNA (450 nucleotides) under uncultured bacterium. RNAcentral describes it as "partial 16S ribosomal RNA". It matches the Rfam family "Bacterial small subunit ribosomal RNA", at positions 354 to 796 of the family's 1533-position model. The record is from RNAcentral.
GUGGGGAAUCUUCCGCAAUGGACGAAAGUCUGACGGAGCAACGCCGCGUGAGUGAUGAAGGUCUUCGGAUUGUAAAGCUCUGUUAAUCGGGACGAAAGAGCCUAGUGUGAAUAAUGCUAGGAAGUGGCGGUACCGGAAUAGAAAGCCACGGCUAACUACGUGCCAGCAGCCGCGGUAAUACGUAGGUGGCAAGCGUUGUCCGGAAUUAUUGGGCGUAAAGCGCGCGCAGGCGGAUCUGCCAGUCUGUCUUAAAAGUUCGGGGCUUAACCCCGUGAUGGGAUGGAAACUACAGAUCUAGAGUAUCGGAGAGGAAAGUGGAAUUCCUAGUGUAGCGGUGAAAUGCGUAGAUAUUAGGAAGAACACCAGUGGCGAAGGCGACUUUCUGGACGAAAACUGACGCUGAGGCGCGAAAGCCAGGGGAGCGAACGGGAUUAGAAACCCGUGUAGUCC